Molecule: unclassified non-coding RNA, 272 nt
Filed under: uncultured fungus
Lineage: Eukaryota; Fungi
Description: sequence contains ITS1
Source: RNAcentral
UAUAGAUUUAUAGGCACAAAGGCCCAUUGAUUACAUUCUGUAAACAUACAUUAGGGUAUAUGAAGAAACAUAGACCUGGAAAUGUAAGAAGAGACAAAAAGUCAAUCCUCAAUCCUGAAUGCUAAAAGCAAUCAGAGAGAUACCCAAGGUCUACAAAAGGUGCACAGGUGGAGAUACAAAGAUGACAAGUGUGCACAUGCUCCCUAGAGAACCAGCAACAACUCAUCAGGUUUAUUUCAAUAAUGAUCCUUCCGCAGGUUCACCUACGGAAA